This 429-nucleotide ribosomal RNA is filed under the name Actinomycetes bacterium. Its description in RNAcentral is "Actinobacteria bacterium partial 16S ribosomal RNA". It matches the Rfam family "Bacterial small subunit ribosomal RNA", at positions 355 to 776 of the family's 1533-position model. Lineage: Bacteria; Bacillati; Actinomycetota; Actinomycetes. The record is from RNAcentral.
UAGGGAAUCUUCCGCAAUGGGCGAAAGCUUGACGGAGCAACGCCGCGUGAGUGAUGAAGGUCUUCGGAUCGUAAAACUCUGUUAUUAGGGAAGAACAAAUGUGUAAGUAACUAUGCACGUCUUGACGGUACCUAAUCAGAAAGCCACGGCUAACUACGUGCCAGCAGCCGCGGUAAUACGUAGGUGGCAAGCGUUAUCCGGAAUUAUUGGGCGUAAAGCGCGCGUAGGCGGUUUUUUAAGUCUGAUGUGAAAGCCCACGGCUCAACCGUGGAGGGUCAUUGGAAACUGGAAAACUUGAGUGCAGAAGAGGAAAGUGGAAUUCCAUGUGUAGCGGUGAAAUGCGCAGAGAUAUGGAGGAACACCAGUGGCGAUGGCGACUUUCUGGUCUGUAACUGACGCUGAUGUGCGAAAGCGUGGGGAUCAAACAGG